GGAAUGGCCACCAGCAGAUCUAGGCCUUGCCGUAGAGAAAAUUAUUUGGGAGAUCAGGAGGUCCCUGUCAGAGAUCUCCCUCUGCUCAGGGCAAUGUUGCCCCUGAUUCUUCAGGAGGGGAGCCUGUGAACACAGCUGCAGCAGAGGAAGCUUCAUCUGGCACCGAGAGCUGCAGGAACAAUUCCCAGGAGCCCAAGGAGCCUGAUGCCAUCUGACCAACAUCUCCAGGAGGGCUGCCCUGCAUGGCAGGAAGAGACAGGGGAGAGCCUGUGACCAUCGGGCAGGUAGAAGUCCUCUGUUUGUAGAUAUGUUUAGAGAUUUCUAUGGUUCUAUUUAUUAGUGGUUAUAGUUCCAUUUAUAGAUGAUAGUGUUCUGUUUAUAUGGGCAUAUAUUGAUAGAUCUGUAUAGUUAAAUGUGAAUAUGUAUACAG
This is a long non-coding RNA of Melospiza melodia melodia, 430 nucleotides long. RefSeq lists it as uncharacterized. The transcript is spliced from 3 exons. The record is from RefSeq and is a predicted model, not a curated record. Lineage: Eukaryota; Metazoa; Chordata; Aves; Passeriformes; Passerellidae.